AAAAGACACGCACAUUCUCCUGGGCUUCAAAGUUGUCCCAUCCUUCUGUGAUGUCAUAAUCUGAGCCAUAGCCCACAAAUGUGAACUCCAACAACCCCCAAACCCAGUCCUCACCUCCCACAUGCUUUUCAUCACCCGCUCUCACAUCCCAUCUGGGGCCUCUGCUUCCAUCCUACCAUUUCGCAAGCCUGGCCAACUCAAGCUCCGUGUGCUGCACCUAGAGCAGCCCAUCUCUGUGUCAGGGAGGUGAGCUGCUCAGUUGCCAGAGUAUCAACCUGAGCCCAGGACACUGCCAGACUGCUGAGUCAAAGAGGGUUUAGCAGCCCAUUUUCAUAGACAGACAGGUGAGAGGAGGAUGCUGGACAUGGUCCCAGAGACAUGGGGACUCAAGAAACAUGAAGAUCUGUUCACAGCUAAGGGCACAUUUCCAUGCCGAGAAAUCAGGCGUGAGCGCAAGAGUCCUAUCGUCUACCAGAAAAAGAAAUCUUUGGGAGCAUUCAAGGAGGAAUGGCUUCAUGAUGGCAAUGAGCGGCAUCGCCUGAAAGACAGCCUUCGAGAGUCUCCCAGAGCCGCUGAGGAGCAAGGCAGAGAACUGCAAUCCAAGCAAAUGUGGUGGGUGUGAAGCUUUCAAGAAGUUGGGUCAAGAACAAGGACUGAAAGAGGAGCAUCAAUUUAUGGGGGCCACUGAGGCUUUCAGAGAUUUUGUGACCUACCAAACUGGCACAGCUAGUAAAUGGAUGACAAGCCAUUAACAUGGAAAGAAGAAGAGGCAUCCAAAGUGUUGGGUCCGCAUCGCCCUUGCCUUGGAGGAAGCUCCAAAUAGAGGGAAGGAUGGUUUCCAGCAGUCCCUGAAGUGCCUUUCCUCCUUCGUGGGAUCCAGUUACACCCAGCAGACUUCAGUUUGAAUAAACAGAACUAGAUGAAUACACCUAGGGAAUCUGUGAGGCCAGCCUCAGCUUUUAACAUCCAGCUACAGGGAGAGGUGUACAGUGACUUGCCCAAAGUCAAACAGCUUGUAAACUGCAGACCCAGGAGCCAAACCACAGCAAGCUCUUCCAUCCUACAGGAAGCAUUCUCUGCCUAAUUAAGAAGAGUUUGUGGCCUACACUUCAUGUUCCCAUAGCACCUGCCUACUCCAUGUGAGGAGGACAAGGAUGAAGACCUUUAUGGUGAUCCAUUUCCAUUUAAUGAAUUGCAGAGAAAAUGUCAAGUUCAUCAGCUGAAACGAAAACUCCCACUGUCCAGGCUAAGAGACCAGGGUCAGGGAUGGGAUCCCAAACUUUGAGGUGGAAGAUGGAGAAAGGGUGGGGGAGGAGGGGGGGAGGGAGGAGGAGGAAGGAGGAGAGGGAGGAGGAAGGAGGAGGAGGAAGAAGGAGGAAGAAGGAGGAGGAG
This 1392-nucleotide long non-coding RNA is filed under the name Homo sapiens (human). Its description in RNAcentral is "HSALNT0330818". The record is from RNAcentral. Lineage: Eukaryota; Metazoa; Chordata; Mammalia; Primates; Hominidae.